UCUAGAAAAAGAGAUAAAAGAGAGAGAAAAAAAAGUAUUCACCAGCAUCACACACACACCCCUCCCCCCCACCCAAAUCCACAACCUUUUAAAAAGAAAAGUCUUUAAAAACCAAAGUAUUUUCCCUUGAGCUUUCUCUGUGUGUUUGUAAUAGGAAAGAUGAAAGGGGCAUGGAAAGAAAAAGAGGGAGAUAAAAGACUUCAUUCACACAGGCCAAACCUACUAAGCCAAUUAAAAGUAUGAAAAGUCAAGGUCUAAAUGGGCUCAGGACAAGGAGCAGGUCUCUUCUGUUUUGAAUAAUUAACCUUUUUUUUUUUUUGUGGAUUGGUUUUGUUUUAGACAAGUUGAAGCUGCCAAAAUUUCACCUGCCCCAGUGGUUGGAGCAUACAAUUAAAUGGCUGAUUUGAUAUGCAUACACUUCAUUCAAUGGAAUAAAUCUGUCGGUUUUGAUUUUGCCUCAGUCUCUAGUGAUAUAUCAGCAAGAUGUGGACAGAGAAUGGGAAGCUUUAAUGAACACCACAGAAAUAUUCCUUCACCAGUCGUAUGGCUAUGCACAUGUGAGAGGGACACAGGAGGAGACAGGGAUGCUGACCACAGGCUCCUUGCAGUAGGUGGACUCAGGGGCCAGACUGUAAUGGCAGUGAUGGACAUGGAUUCACAGGGAGAAAGGCAUCCCAGAAGCAGAAGAAUUAGUCAAGCAGAGACACAGAAGCAAGAGUUAGUUGUGUGCAGGGACUGGCAAGCAGGCUGGCUCGGCUGAGAUAAAGGAAAAAAAAAAAAAACAACUCAAAAGAGAUGCGGUAUAAAAGAGGAUUUGAAUGGAGACCUUGAAUCCUAGGCUGACAAGUCUGGACUUGAGUACAAAGAUAUAUUGUAACAUUUUCCUGAGCCACCGUUUGCCUGUGCUCCUAAAAGAAGAGAAAAAGGCCUCCAGUUAGAGGCCAUCAACAAAAAUGCUGAAUGGGUCAUCGUAUUUCCUAAAAGUCAAGAACAAAGAAGACCCAGACAAGGCUUCUGAGAACUAUGGAGACGUAUCCAGAUGCCACACUGAAAAUACAAUUCCACCACCCAUCCAUUAUUUGCUCAGGCAUAUAACAAGACAUCUCUUUUCACUGGUUUCUCUUCUGCCACCUGUUAAAUUAGAAAAACAACUAGUCUUAUAAAUGAAUAAAGGUGCUUAUUAUAGAUACAUACCACUUCCCAAGCAAAGAAAAUCAGGCCUUAGAAGAAAGUAUAAGGGAAGGUAGAUGUAUUAACUAUGUAGAUCAUGCUUAUUUGCCUCUUGAGAGAUGGCUUCUCUCCUCAAAUUCAAUGGAGCUGUAAUUUGAAAAAUCAGGCCUGUAGGCACUUUUAGGAUAUAAUGACAUUUGCACACAUGAUCACAUGCUUCAGGGAAAAAAAUGAAAUCAGGAGGACACACUGGUAAGCUGUGGGCUUAUUGUGGGCACCACAGCAUACAAAGUCACUAUAUGAAUUCCCAGAUUAGGACAUAGUUUGAUGGUUUUCUUGGUUCUCUUAAGAGCUUGGUGGAAAUUAAGUCUGUUUUACCUAAGGUAACCUCAAGUCCCCUGGCUGCUAAAAUGAUAUAAUGGUUUGCUCUGAAAUUAGCUACUAAAGUAACACAAUUCUUUGCUAUCUGAGUAUAAAAGCAGAAGCCAGAAAUUCAUUCUUACAGAGUAAGAACUCAUUUUUUGCCAUAGAGUAAAACAUUCCAACCCUCCAAAGUCACUCUAGGGAUUUGGGUUUCAUUUUUUCCUUUAAAAAGACAUUUUUCCCCUGGAUAUUCGGAAGAGUGUAAACAAAAGCCACAGAAAACACAAGUUAGGGCACUGAAGUAUAGCGUAGCACUCUCUUAUGGGAAAAAUGCCAGUGUGCUGUGGCAGAAGGCAGAUGAACACUGUCUCUUCUCCCGCUCCCCACUUCAAACCAGAGUCUCAUGUAGUUUCCCUACCCAGAAAGGAAGAGAAAACAAAUAAUAGCUACCGUGACAACAACGACGUGAGAUUUCAUAAAAUAGAUUACUUUUGGUGGAACAAAUACCUGACACCUUUCAACCUCAAACAGUACAGUCUGAGACGCCACAGUCCAGGUUUCAAUCUUAACGCUAUGAAAUUCUGGAGUUUUAUUUCAUUCCAAAACUUGGAGUCUUAAGAUGCUUUAAGAACACUAAUUGUGGUGGACAUUUUAUUGGGUAAUUAUAUUUAUCAUGAUCUCCUCCACCUUGUCUCUGCUCCUCUGUCCCAUUUUGUAGCACUCCAAUCCUGUGACUUCCAAUUAGGUGACAAGAAGUGUCUAAAUUCUUAUCUGUGGUAUUUCAUCAUAAAUUUUGUAUAAGACUAUUAUAUGAACUGACAACAGCUAUGGGCCUGGAGACAAAAGGAUUAAGACACACUAAAAAGGUGUGGACAAAUGAACACAGGUAUAAAACCUGAACUGUAUUUCAAGUCUUUUGCUCUUUCUUCAAAUUUUUGCUACCUUUGGCCAACAUCAACAGUACUAGGUCAUUUAACAAAAAAGAUCCAUUAAAACUUAAUUCGGCUAUAUG
Long non-coding RNA from Pan troglodytes (chimpanzee), 2545 nucleotides. RefSeq lists it as uncharacterized. The record is from RefSeq and is a predicted model, not a curated record. The transcript is spliced from 4 exons. NCBI's taxonomy places the organism in Eukaryota, Metazoa, Chordata, Mammalia, Primates, Hominidae.